UACAGAGGGUGCAAGCGUUAAUCGGAAUUACUGGGCGUAAAGCGUGCGUAGACGGUUAUGUAAGUCAGGUGUGAAAGCCCCGGGCUCAACCUGGGAAUGCCAUUUGAGACUGCAUAGCUAGGGUACGGAAGAGGGAAGCGGAAUUUCAGGUGUAGCGGUGAAAUGCGUAGAUAUCUGGAGGAAUACCGGUGGCGAAGGCGGCAUCCUGGACCAUUACUGACGCUGAGGCGCGAAAGCUAGGGGAGCAAACGGG
Molecule: ribosomal RNA, 253 nt
Filed under: uncultured bacterium
Lineage: Bacteria
Description: partial 16S ribosomal RNA
Rfam family: Bacterial small subunit ribosomal RNA
Source: RNAcentral